GAACGGUGAAGAGAAGCUUGCUUCUCGGAUCAGUGGCGGACGGGUGAGUAACACGUGAGCAACCUGCCUUUAAGAGGGGGAUAACGUUUGGAAACGAACGCUAAUACCGCAUAACAUAGAAGAUUCGCAUGUUUCUUCUAUCAAAGAUUUAUCGCUUAAAGAUGGGCUCGCGUCUGAUUAGCUGGUUGGUGAGGUAACGGCUCACCAAGGCGACGAUCAGUAGCCGUACUGAGAGGUAGAACGGCCACAUUGGGACUGAGACACGGCCCAGACUCCUACGGGAGGCAGCAGUGGGGAAUAUUGCACAAUGGAGGGAACUCUGAUGCAGCGAUGCCGCGUGAGGGAAGAAGGUUUUAGGAUUGUAAACCUCUGUCUUCAGGGACGAUAAUGACGGUACCUGAGGAGGAAGCUCCGGCUAACUACGUGCCAGCAGCCGCGGUAAUACGUAGGGAGCGAGCGUUGUCCGGAAUUACUGGGUGUAAAGGGAGCGUAGGCGGGAUCUUAAGUCAGGUGUGAAAACUAUGGGCUUAACCCAUAGACUGCACUUGAAACUGAGGUUCUUGA
This 564-nucleotide ribosomal RNA is filed under the name uncultured bacterium. RNAcentral's name for it is "bacterial SSU rRNA". It matches the Rfam family "Bacterial small subunit ribosomal RNA", at positions 64 to 645 of the family's 1533-position model. The record is from RNAcentral.